Blastosporella zonata is the source of this 83-nucleotide non-coding RNA. The record is from the annotation of a GenBank genome assembly. Lineage: Eukaryota; Fungi; Basidiomycota; Agaricomycetes; Agaricales; Lyophyllaceae.
GGGUCGAUGGCGUAGCUGGUUAUCGCAUCUGUCUAACACACUGUGUACACAGAAGGUCCUCAGUUCGAACCUGGGUCGACUCA